RNAcentral lists this ribosomal RNA (207 nucleotides) under uncultured bacterium. RNAcentral describes it as "partial 16S ribosomal RNA". It matches the Rfam family "Bacterial small subunit ribosomal RNA", at positions 568 to 774 of the family's 1533-position model. The record is from RNAcentral.
CGUGCAGGUGGUUUGGUAAGUUGGGUAUGAAAUCUCCUGGCUUAACUGGGAGAGGUUGCUCAAAACUACCAGACUAGAGGACGAUAGAGGAAGGUGGAAUUCCCGGUGUAGUAGUGAAAUGCGUAGAUAUCGGGAGGAACACCAGUGGCGAAGGCGGCCUUCUGGGUCGUUCCUGACACUAAGACGCGAAAGCAUGGGUAGCAAACG